GCGGUGAUGACUAUUUUGGUUUUGAUCAGAAAUGAGGUGAAACUACACCACCAAACCUCUAAGAAGUUCUGAGCUC
Molecule: small nucleolar RNA, 76 nt
Organism: Cyclopterus lumpus (lumpfish)
Lineage: Eukaryota; Metazoa; Chordata; Actinopteri; Perciformes; Cyclopteridae
Source: Ensembl